GAUGAACGCUAGCUACAGGCUUAACACAUGCAAGUCGAGGGGAAACGAUAGAGAAAGCUUGCUUUUUCUAGGCGUCGACCGGCGCACGGGUGAGUAACGCGUAUCCAACCUGCCCAUCACUUGGGGAUAACCUUGCGAAAGUAAGACUAAUACCCAAUGAUAUCUCUAGAAGACAUCUGAAGGAGAUGAAAGAUUUAUCGGUGAUGGAUGGGGAUGCGUCUGAUUAGCUUGUUGGCGGGGUAACGGCCCACCAAGGCGACGAUCAGUAGGGGUUCUGAGAGGAAGGUCCCCCACAUUGGAACUGAGACACGGUCCAAACUCCUACGGGAGGCAGCAGUGAGGAAUAGUGGUCAAUGGGCGAGAGCCUGAACCAGCCAAGUAGCGUGCAGGAUGACGGCCCUAUGGGUUGUAAACUGCUUUUAUAAGGGAAUAAAGUGAGUCUCGUGAGGCUUUUUGCAUGUACCUUAUGAAUAAGGACCGGCUAAUUCCGUGCCAGCCGCCGCAGUAA
RNAcentral lists this ribosomal RNA (508 nucleotides) under uncultured bacterium. RNAcentral describes it as "partial 16S ribosomal RNA". It matches the Rfam family "Bacterial small subunit ribosomal RNA", at positions 28 to 523 of the family's 1533-position model. The record is from RNAcentral.